GUGGAAGAUCUGAUGUCUAAACUUGGUGUUCAAGAGAUAGAACUUCAUCAGAGAAAUGAAGACACUGAAGCACCGAUUACCAAAAUAGGACAACAAACGGAAAAACUUAGCCAAGAAAAAGUCACAGUGGAUGAUAAGAAGCAAAUUAGCCUACUGUGGAAGAGCCCUGACCCCAGAGAGCCCCAGGGCUGACCAGGCCAGUUGGAGCACGCCCGGCCGGGGCCGGCAGCGUGGGAGCGCGGGGCGUGAGAGUGGUGGCGUGGCCGCAGCAGGGAUGAGAGCCCCAGAGGCAAACCCCACGCGGUGCUUGGUGGCCCGCACCUUAAUUAACUUCCCCAGGUGUGGCAAAGAGCCGGGCGGCUCAAAAGUGGUGCUGGCGCACAGCUUAAGGAGACCAGAAGAGCCGGAGGAGGAGGAGGAGCUUCCCGGCAGGGAAGUGGCACGAGGGAGGACGGCAGAUCGGCACCCGGCAAGGGUCUUCUGGAGCUGGGUAGGGCCCCGUAGGGGCAGGACACGAGGGACAGAGGUCCCUGUGGGCCAUUGACCAGAUUGUGAAGGCCGGGGUGGGGGAGCUCCCCAUCCCAGCCCCAAGCAGCGAGGCCCGUAGCCAGAAGCGGCAGAGGCGGGCCGGCCCGUGUGGUACUGGGCAGAAAACACAGCCCAGGCAGGAGCGGCGUGCUCUCGCCGCCCAGAGGGAACCCCAAUUGGGGAACACAGGCCUCCAGCAGGAGGCAGACGGGACUCACCAAGAAACCUGAGCCAGCCCCGGCGGGGAGCUGGUGGAGCGGCUCGUGUGUCGCUAACGGGACAAUUUUUUUUCGAGGAACUACCCCACCUCAGCUGAGGAGAGGGGGGGCCCCCCCUUUCGACUCAGUACGGAGGCCUGGGCGAGGGUGUAGGGGAGGCAGGAGCCCUCAAGGACCCCGGACCGGACUGGACAGGAGGUACUGCUUUUGGACAUGCGCACGCCAGGGAAUUCACUGGACCUAAUAACAGCAAAGUCGUGGCAGGAGGACUUGGCAAGAGCAUACCAGGAGCGGGAGCCACCCCUGGAUCAGGAGGGCAAGCCCCACAGCGAUCUGCGGGCACCCAAACUCGCACCAUUGCGGGCAGGCCCGCGGACACCUACCAAACUUUUAGCUUAACACAUGCUAUUACUAUUGUUCUGUGACAACUCUAGCAAGUGCUAUUAUUAUUAAACCAGUUCAUACUAGACUAGUCCAGGCAACUGCAACCUUAUAACUUUGAGUCUUUCAACCUUGCUUGCACAUGUUUAUUUCAGACAAGUAAAGCCAUUAGGAGUGGUAUUGGGGUUAUGUACCCCACCAUGUACAAGAUAUUCUAACUUUCUUUUGUUUGUAUGUAAUUCCCCAAAUAAUGUGCCUGGGCCAAAAGGAAAACAACCUCUAUUCACUUUUUCUGUGGUUUGGAAAAUGUUAGUUCCCCCCUGCACUUCAUUUUGCUGAGCAGGCAUGAUGGUAACAUUGCUGAUGUCCCAGAUACACUGGUGAUAUUCUUAAUCACUUUGUUUUGUUACCUGUAUG
This 1544-nucleotide long non-coding RNA is filed under the name Crocodylus porosus (Australian saltwater crocodile). RNAcentral describes it as "lncRNA (ENSCPRG00005013938.1)". Lineage: Eukaryota; Metazoa; Chordata; Crocodylia; Crocodylidae. The record is from RNAcentral.